AUAACGGUAGCGUAGGUCGUACCUAGGUAACCGUAGGGUUUUUUCUUGUUUUCUGGCGGACGGGUGAGUAACACGUGGGAACGUGCCUUUAGGUUCGGAAUAGCUCCUGGAAACGGGUGGUAAUGCCGAAUGUGCCCUUCGGGGGAAAGAUUUAUCGCCUUUAGAGCGGCCCGCGUCUGAUUAGCUAGUUGGUGAGGUAACGGCUCACCAAGGCGACGAUCAGUAGCUGGUCUGAGAGGAUGACCAGCCACACUGGGACUGAGACACGGCCCAGACUCCUACGGGAGGCAGCAGUGGGGAAUCUUGCGCAAUGGGCGAAAGCCUGACGCAGCCAUGCCGCGUGAAUGAUGAAGGUCUUAGGAUUGUAAAAUUCUUUCACCGGGGACGAUAAUGACGGUACCCGGAGAAGAAGCCCCGGCUAACUUCGUGCCAGCAGCCGCGGUAAUACGAAGGGGGCUAGCGUUGCUCGGAAUUACUGGGCGUAAAGGGCGCGUAGGCGGAUCGUUAAGUCAGAGGUGAAAUCCCAGGGCUCAGCCCUGGAACUGCCUUUGAUACUGGCGAUCUUGAGUAUGAGAGAGGUAUGUGGAACUCCGAGUGUAGAGGUGAAAUUCGUAGAUAUUCGGAAGAACACCAGUGGCGAAGCGACAUACUGGCUCAUUACUGACGCUGAGGCGCGAAAGCGUGGGGAGCAAC
Molecule: ribosomal RNA, 693 nt
Filed under: Brevundimonas diminuta
Lineage: Bacteria; Pseudomonadati; Pseudomonadota; Alphaproteobacteria; Caulobacterales; Caulobacteraceae
Description: bacterial SSU rRNA
Rfam family: Bacterial small subunit ribosomal RNA
Source: RNAcentral